This 246-nucleotide unclassified non-coding RNA is filed under the name Hevea brasiliensis (rubber tree). The record is from RNAcentral. Lineage: Eukaryota; Viridiplantae; Streptophyta; Magnoliopsida; Malpighiales; Euphorbiaceae.
UAUAUGUCAAAUGUUUGAUUUAGUACAUUCAAUACCACAUGCUACAACUAACUGCUUCCAGUAGCUGUGGAGACUUCGGCACUGCAGACAGGGCAGACCUUGUUUAUCUUUAACCAAUUAUUUAUGCACUCGGAAUGGUAUGAGUGUUUGCAAGAGAGAACGGUCAAAGUUUCACCAUCCUCGAAAUCCAAUCGACAAAUGACGCACGAAUCGUUGCUUCCAGUCUGACCGCUCCCUGCCUUGAAG